GGUGAACGCUGGCGGCGUGCCUAACACAUGCAAGUCGAGCGGUGCAGUUUGAAGCUUCGGUGGAAAGCUGCAUAGCGGCGGACGGGUGAGGAAAACGUAGGAACGUGCCCCUUGGAGUUGGAUAGCCACGGGAAACUGUGGGUAAACCGACAUAGACUCGAGAGAGUAAAGGCCGAAAGGCGCCAAGGGAGCGGCCUGCGGCCCAUCAGGUAGUUGGUAGUGUAAAGGACUACCAAGCCGACGACGGGUAGCCGGUCUGAGAGGAUGGCCGGCCACAAGGGCACUGAGACACGGUCCAGACUCCUACGGGAGGCAGCAGUGGGGAAUUUUGGACAAUGGGCGCAAGCCUGAUCCAGCAAUGCCGCGUGCAGGAUGAAGGCCUUCGGGUUGUAAACUGCUUUUGUACGGAACGAAAAGGCUCUGGUUAAUACCUGGGGCUCAUGACGGUACCGUAAGAAUAAGCACCGGCUAACUACGUGCCAGCAGCCGCGGUAAGGCUACGUAGA
This 506-nucleotide ribosomal RNA is filed under the name uncultured bacterium. RNAcentral describes it as "bacterial SSU rRNA". It matches the Rfam family "Bacterial small subunit ribosomal RNA", at positions 28 to 531 of the family's 1533-position model. The record is from RNAcentral.